GCUACACAAACCUUCUGGUACACCUGUGAUUCGCUCUCCUCCUCCGUUCACGAAAUGAACGGGGCAGCACGACGAAUCAGGAUCGUAGGGAGGGAUUUCAGUGGGUAUGACGUUUAUCGAACGCGACACCCUCCCCCAGGGUAGUUCGGCUGUGCCCGCCCCCUCCCUGAAUCACAACAGUAAUGGCGGCGUGCGAGGAGUUAUCAUGCGUCGGGAUGGAAGCAGCAAUUUCAGCGGUGUUAUCCAAAAUACCUCAAGUUGAUUCUCUAAAGGAGGAGCAGUCCCGAGUCAUGGCUAAAGAAGAAGUGGCUGGCUAUGCUUUCUUCUGAAGUCUAUCAAAAAAACCUGGUGGGAAUUGUUGUGGAUGAAGUUCACGUAAUCUACAGAUGGGGCAACGGUGUAAAGGGGAAUCCAGCAUUGAGAGAGAGAGCUUUUCUCGCCUGGGACAACUCUGCUCAGUUGUGAAAGAAAGGCACACCUGUCAUGGCUUUGACGGCUUCAGCAGAAGUUGUCAACAGAGAGAGGGUCAUCAAGCUGCUACACAUGCACAAUGCAACCCGGGUGACAGUGAGCCCAAAUAGACAUAACAUCAGGCUUGGCCUGAAACAUGUAUCUAGUAAUACCCUCUACCCUCACAUGCAGUCUUGUAUGCAAUCAAAGGAUCACCUAGGGUUGACAAGACAGUGAGAGAAGUGAUUAAGGCAGGCACACAAGGCUGUUUAAGGAGA
Long non-coding RNA from Engraulis encrasicolus (European anchovy), 728 nucleotides. RefSeq lists it as uncharacterized. Lineage: Eukaryota; Metazoa; Chordata; Actinopteri; Clupeiformes; Engraulidae. The record is from RefSeq and is a predicted model, not a curated record. The transcript is spliced from 3 exons.